This 836-nucleotide long non-coding RNA is filed under the name Mytilus galloprovincialis (Mediterranean mussel). Lineage: Eukaryota; Metazoa; Mollusca; Bivalvia; Mytilida; Mytilidae. The record is from RNAcentral.
UUGUGUUCAGAGCUUUAUCGUAUUGUAAAAGUACAAACAACUGUAAGCUGAGAAAAAAGAAUAUACAACUAUCUUAUACUAGGACUAGAGAGAUUGUAAAAGGGGCUCUAUCGGAAAUAGGUUUAAACGCAAGAAUUUUUGGUACACAUAGUUUUAGGGCAGGCGGUUGCUCAGCCGCUAGUAACUCUGGUGUCUCGGAUAGAUUAUUAAAGAUUCACGGAAGGUGGAAAUCUGAUAUUGCGAAAGACAGUUACAUAAGCGACAAUUUGAAAAAACGCUUAUUAGUUUCAAAAUCUUUAGGUUUAUAAGAUUUAUUACUGCAAUUUCUUUCUUUGUACAAUCGAGAAUGGUCAUCGUGCCUGACAAGUUCUAAAACUAGUGUUUUAGUUAUUUAUAUUAUGAAUGAGAUAAGAAACAGAUUGGGCCGAGGGAUAUAGAAAUUAUAUAGUCUAGUACAUAAAUAAUUUAUGUUCGUUUGAACGAAGAGAAUUUAGAAAAUAAAUAUAUUUAUGUACGUGGCGGAAGAAUUUUAUCGUAUGAUAAUUCUAUUAAUAUAACAAUAGAAUUGUAACAGGUUUUAUGAACCCGAGUGUAUUUAAAUACGGUGGACUCGAUUUGAAAUUAUCGAUAAGGGCGUUGACCAUUCGCAUGUACACACGUAGUUUUUGUUAGUUAUACUUAAGCACAUAUAUAUUCGAAAACAGUAUUAAAUACUUUUUGUAACAUUUUUUGAUGGUUUUUUGUAGAUUGUUGAGGCAACCUUUUUUAGUUUAUUUAAACAGAGGACUUAUUCUGAGAUGUGGACUGUAUUUACACAAUUACAAACAUUUGUAAUU